UUGGCAGCUACUUGUGAUCUCCAUACCGGAGAACACUGCUGUCUGGUUUUGUUCAUUGCAGAAGUCUCCUCCCAGCCCUCUUAGACAUGUAGUAGAUUGUUCCCUUGCAACACAUAUGAUGUUAUCUGGGAGAUCUACUGCUACAGCUAAAAAGCUUGCAUGGGUUGCCCUUAAGUGUAAUAUACAAACGGGGUCAUAUGAAUGUGGUUACUACGUCAUGUUUUGGAUGAUGACCAUUAUUCGUGCACAUUACACCAGUGGAUGGGAAACAG
Molecule: long non-coding RNA, 272 nt
Organism: Vigna angularis (adzuki bean)
Lineage: Eukaryota; Viridiplantae; Streptophyta; Magnoliopsida; Fabales; Fabaceae
Exons: 3
Source: RefSeq, a predicted model, not a curated record